AGCGAACGUUUGCGGCGGGCUUAACACAUGCAAGUCGAACGGGCUGUUCCUUCGGGGGCAGUCAGUGGCGCACGGGUGCGUAACACGUAGGUAAUCAACCCUCUGGUUGGGGAUAACACCUCGAAAGGAGUGCUAAUACCCGGUAUGGCGCAGCGGUCUUCGGAUCGCGGCGAGAAAGACCCGCAAGGGUUGCCAGAGGACGAGCCUGCGGCCCAUCAGCUAGUUGGCGAGGUAACGGCUCACCAAGGCGAAGACGGGUAGCUGGUCUGAGAGGAUGAUCAGCCACACUGGAACUGAGACACGGUCCAGACUCCUACGGGAGGCAGCAGUGGGGAAUAUUGCGCAAUGGGCGAAAGCCUGACGCAGCCACGCCGCGUGAGCGAUGAAGGCC
This 391-nucleotide ribosomal RNA is filed under the name uncultured bacterium. RNAcentral's name for it is "bacterial SSU rRNA". It matches the Rfam family "Bacterial small subunit ribosomal RNA", at positions 29 to 416 of the family's 1533-position model. The record is from RNAcentral.